This 514-nucleotide ribosomal RNA is filed under the name uncultured Glomus. RNAcentral's name for it is "SSU rRNA". It matches the Rfam family "Eukaryotic small subunit ribosomal RNA", at positions 569 to 1081 of the family's 1831-position model. Lineage: Eukaryota; Fungi; Glomeromycota; Glomeromycetes; Glomerales; Glomeraceae. The record is from RNAcentral.
AGCAGCCGCGGUAAUUCCAGCUCCAAUAGCGUAUAUUAAAGUUGUUGCAGUUAAAAAGACUCGUAGUUGAAUUUCGGGGUUCGAGCAGGUCGGUCGUGCCAAUGGUAUGCACUGGCCUUGCUGGUUCCUCCCUCUUGAUGAGCCGUAAUGCCAUUAAUUUGGUGUUGCGGGGAAUCAGGACUGUUACUUUGAAAAAAUUAGAGUGUUUAAAGCAGGCAAGCGCUUGAAUACAUUAGCAUGGAAUAAUGAAAUAGGACGUUUGAUCCUAUUUUGUUGGUUUCUAGGAUUGACGUAAUGAUUAAUAGGGAUAGUUGGGGGCAUUAGUAUUCAAUUGUCAGAGGUGAAAUUCUUGGAUUUAUUGAAGACUAACUACUGCGAAAGCAUUUGCCAAGGAUGUUUUCAUUAAUCAAGAACGAAAGUUAGGGGAUCGAAGACGAUCAGAUACCGUCGUAGUCUUAACCAUAAACUAUGCCGACUAGGGAUCGGAUGAUGUUAAUUUUUAAUUGACUCAUUC